UUGGAGGGCAAGUCUGGUGCCAGCAGCCGCGGUAAUUCCAGCUCCAAUAGCGUAUAUUAAAGUUGUUGCAGUUAAAAAGCUCGUAGUUGAAUUUCGGGAUCAGUACGCUGGUCAUGCCUUUGGUAUGCACUGGUGUCACUGGUUUCUCCCUUCUGAAGAUCCGUGAUGUCAUUAAUUUGGUGUCGCGGGGAAUCAGGACUGUUACUUUGAAAAAAUUAGAGUGUUUAAAGCAGGCUCACGCUUGAAUACAUUAGCAUGGAAUAAUGAAAUAGGACGUUUGACCCUAUUUUGUUGGUUUCUAGGAUCGACGUAAUGAUUAAUAGGGAUAGUUGGGGGCAUUAGUAUUCAAUUGUCAGAGGUGAAAUUCUUGGAUUUAUUGAAGACUAACUACUGCGAAAGCAUUUGCCAAGGAUGUUUUCAUUAAUCAAGAACGAAAGUUAGGGGAUCGAAGACGAUCAGAUACCGUCGUAGUCUUAACCAUAAACUAUGCCGACUAGGGAUCGGAUGAUGUUAAUUUUAUAAUGAUUCAUUCGGCGCCUUACGGGAAACCAAAGUGUUUGGGUUC
RNAcentral lists this ribosomal RNA (565 nucleotides) under uncultured Glomeromycotina. RNAcentral's name for it is "SSU rRNA". It matches the Rfam family "Eukaryotic small subunit ribosomal RNA", at positions 548 to 1114 of the family's 1831-position model. Lineage: Eukaryota; Fungi; Glomeromycota. The record is from RNAcentral.